UAGACGGACUCCAAAGUUCCCGACGAACAGUGCGCUUUUGAAAAGAGCCUGACCACGCUGUUGGCCAUGCUCGGAGGCGCCACGCUGAUCUACGGCG
RNAcentral lists this non-coding RNA (97 nucleotides) under bovine gut metagenome. RNAcentral's name for it is "Pyrrolysine insertion sequence mttB". It matches the Rfam family "Pyrrolysine insertion sequence mttB". The record is from RNAcentral.